AAACUUUAAGUCAAAAGCGAAGCGAGAACCGCAAUUCACUUGAGUUGGGAUUUCCUAUUACUCCCCGAGGUGAACACAUAAUUUCUAU
Long non-coding RNA from Bradysia coprophila, 88 nucleotides. The record is from RefSeq and is a predicted model, not a curated record. NCBI's taxonomy places the organism in Eukaryota, Metazoa, Arthropoda, Insecta, Diptera, Sciaridae.